GACGUAGGGCGCGAGCGUUGUCCGGAUUUAUUGGGCGUAAAGAGCUCGUAGGCGGCUUGUCGCGUCGUCCGUGAAAACUUGGGGCUCAACUCCAAGCUUGCGGUCGAUACGGGCAGGCUCGAGUUCGGUAGGGGAGACUGGAAUUCCUGGUGUAGCGGUGAAAUGCGCAGAUAUCAGGAGGAACACCGGUGGCGAAGGCGGGUCUCUGGGCCGAUACUGACGCUGAGGAGCGAAAGCGUGGGGAGCGAACAGG
This 253-nucleotide ribosomal RNA is filed under the name uncultured bacterium. Its description in RNAcentral is "partial 16S ribosomal RNA". It matches the Rfam family "Bacterial small subunit ribosomal RNA", at positions 524 to 776 of the family's 1533-position model. RNAcentral also lists the same sequence under 1 other name. The record is from RNAcentral.